Long non-coding RNA from Alosa alosa (allis shad), 682 nucleotides. RefSeq lists it as uncharacterized. The transcript has 2 exons. The record is from RefSeq and is a predicted model, not a curated record. NCBI's taxonomy places the organism in Eukaryota, Metazoa, Chordata, Actinopteri, Clupeiformes, Clupeidae.
UCCCCUUUUACACCUCUGUUGCGGUGUGGAGAUAAGCCAGUUCGGCUGCCAGGACGGCUUCAUCUUGAUGAGCUUCGACAGAACUUCAGCGCUGACAUUUAAUGCCGUUUGCGCCACUCGGGCUUUCUCUUAACUGAACACCUGAACACCUUUUAUCUGGCCGUGGUGCUGCGCCGGCUGGACUGAUGGACAAGAGCAGUUGGGACAGCGGCAGAGCAACGAGCGUCAGCACCAAACACAGCCGUCGGAGAUAAAAAAAUAGAUAUAUGUAAAACCGCAAAUAAACAAAUAAGCAAAUAAACAGUAAAUAAAAGAGCCUGAGGAGGAGGAGGCGAUGAUAAAAUGCUGUUUUUACAGAAGCUCCAGAAAUGACAAGGAAACGUGCCUGCCAGACAAACGGUUUUGUGCAAGAACACAAACACCAGGAGCAGAAAGCGAGGGCCGAGAGGAAUACUCAGGCAACAGCAACACACCUCACUCGGACGCACACUCAGCCACUUCUUGCAAUGACCUCUCCUCGGGGGAUGUGGGGUCCUUGCUUGGCCACUCCACUCCUGUUCCAUGUCCUCCCUUCCACACCAACAGGGGGAGCCAGGGGUCAGUGGGUAGGUGGCAAAGUACAGGCAUGACCUAUAUAAGACCUGUUCUGUGGUCAGUUUGUGAAUAAAGAGCUUUCUUUAGA